AAGCGCCCCAUUCGGAUUGCAGGCUGCAACCCGCCUGCAUGAAGCCGGAAUCGCUAGUAAUCGCGGAUCAGAAUGCCGCGGUGAAUACGUUCCCGGGUCUUGUACACACCGCCCGUCACACCAUGGGAGUCGGGAAUGCCCGAAGUCAGUGGCCCAACCGGAAGGGGGGAGCUGCCGAAGGCAGGCCCGGUGACUGGGGUGAAGUCGUAACAAGGUAUC
RNAcentral lists this ribosomal RNA (219 nucleotides) under uncultured bacterium. Its description in RNAcentral is "partial 16S ribosomal RNA". It matches the Rfam family "Bacterial small subunit ribosomal RNA", at positions 1282 to 1500 of the family's 1533-position model. The record is from RNAcentral.